GGUUUGGUGAUGGCCAGGUG
Molecule: non-coding RNA, 20 nt
Filed under: Rattus norvegicus (Norway rat)
Lineage: Eukaryota; Metazoa; Chordata; Mammalia; Rodentia; Muridae
Source: RNAcentral